UACAGAGGGUGCAAGCGUUAAUCGGAAUUACUGGGCGUAAAGCGUGUGUAGGCGGAUGCCUAAGUACCUUGUGAAAUCCCACGGCUCACCCGUGGAACUGCUCGGUAUACUGGGUGUCUUGAGCCACUUAGGGGCUACCGGAACAAAUGGUGGAGCGGUGAAAUGCGUAGAUAUCAUUUGGAACGCCAAUGGUGAAAACAGGUAGCUGGGAGUGUGCUGACGCUGAGACACGAAAGCCAGGGGAGCAAACGGG
This 253-nucleotide ribosomal RNA is filed under the name uncultured bacterium. RNAcentral's name for it is "partial 16S ribosomal RNA". It matches the Rfam family "Bacterial small subunit ribosomal RNA", at positions 524 to 776 of the family's 1533-position model. The record is from RNAcentral.